UUUGAACUCUCCACCUCAACUAUGGAUAGUUGUGAGCUAUCCAAGUGAGCUAGCACUCAAUUCCAAUUAAUUAAAAUGACUGGUCCAAUACAAAGCAUAGGCCUGUUUUGAAUCUCACAAGCCCAAUUUUGAUUAAAUUCUUCAACUAAUUUUCUCAUUCUCUAUGUAGCGAAGUGCAGAACAGAGGAGGCGAAUAUUAAUUUUAUUUCUUCAAGAAAAUCAUAUGCUGAAGAAGAACACUACAAACUCAUAGGUAUUUUCUGGGUUUCUUUUACUUUUUAGUACUAUUUCUUAAUAUUGUUUUUAUAUAAAGAUGCACAAGAUAGUGAAUUCAUUGAUUUUCUGGGCUCUUUUUUUUGUCUUUAGUAAAAUGGGAAGAACUGAAGAACUCUUUGAGGAGCUUAUGAAUGUUGAAGUAGAGCUUCACGACGUCCAAGGUAAGCUUAGUAUACUGUUUUUUCAUCUUUUUUUCCUCUUUACCUCAUCUUUUUCUUUUAUAUUCGUUCGUCAGUAACAUUGAUUGAAAGGUUAUUCUUUGUUUAAUUCUACUAAGAACCAAGAUACAUUGUUCUAUAUUUGGUCAUGCUCUCUCUGAUGUUUAUAUUUGUUUGUCAAAUGUUUAAUCUGUAACAUUGUGUUAGAAUAUGUCAUAAUGCUAACAUA
Molecule: long non-coding RNA, 663 nt
Filed under: Nicotiana tabacum (common tobacco)
Lineage: Eukaryota; Viridiplantae; Streptophyta; Magnoliopsida; Solanales; Solanaceae
Description: long non-coding RNA (NTAB_LNC014491)
Source: RNAcentral